This 305-nucleotide ribosomal RNA is filed under the name uncultured bacterium. RNAcentral describes it as "bacterial SSU rRNA". It matches the Rfam family "Bacterial small subunit ribosomal RNA", at positions 336 to 637 of the family's 1533-position model. The record is from RNAcentral.
UUCCUACGGGGGGCAGCAGUGAGGAAUAUUGGUCAAUGGGCGGAAGCCUGAACCAGCCAAGUCGCGUGAGGGAAUAAGGCCCUACGGGUCGUAAACCUCUUUUGCCGGGGAGCAAGGGCGGGGACGUGUCCCGGCCCGGAGAGUACCCGGAGAAAAAGCAUCGGCUAACUCCGUGCCAGCAGCCGCGGUAAUACGUAGGGAGCAAGCGUUAUCCGGAUUUAUUGGGUGUAAAGGGUGCGUAGACGGGAAGGCAAGUUAGUUGUGAAAUCCCUCGGCUUAACUGAGGAACUGCAACUAAAACUAUC